Long non-coding RNA from Fukomys damarensis (Damara mole-rat), 788 nucleotides. RefSeq lists it as uncharacterized. Lineage: Eukaryota; Metazoa; Chordata; Mammalia; Rodentia; Bathyergidae. The record is from RefSeq and is a predicted model, not a curated record. The transcript has 3 exons.
AUCCACAAUUCUGCCAAGAAAAUGAUUGGCAACCACCAUCUCAUCUAGAAGGACCACUUCUGCUUUUGGGGUUUCAGUUCUUCUGGUCUUCCUCAUUUCCGUAUGCUUUGUUUCAUUUGUGUUGAGCAAUUUAAUAAGAACAGAAUUUUGUUUUCUCACAGUUCAGGAGGCAAGAGGUCCACGAUCAAGAUGCCAAUAUCUGCCACAAGUUCUCUUGCUGUGCUGUCGUGUGAGAAGUCACCAUCGCUCAGCUGUGCCAACUCUCCCCUCCCGCCUCCCAGGAAGGCAGUGGCGUGUCCAGUUCACUAAGGGACUCCCGUGGGGUCAGCUGUCCCAGUGACGUCGUCUGUGAGCUCUGGGCAAGCUGCCUCUCGUCUGUUCUCAUAAAGACCUCAGCAGGCUUAGAGCUCAUGAUGUGGGAGUUGGAGAAAUACUUGAUGUUUUAAAAGAAAAAAACUGCACAAUGGAACAGGCAACAGGAUGCAAGCGGACAAGGAGCAGGUUCCGGGGCACACCAACGAGACAGAACACUCCUACUUCUCAUGACAUUGAAGAAGAAUCCCAAGAAAAUUCCAACAGCACUGUACUUGGCUAGAGUGGACGGAGGAGGACCUAGUAGGCUUCCGGGAGCAGAGAGUCCUGCGGGAUCCACCGGGCAAAGAGAAGCUGGCUGUGCACAAGUGGAUUUGGAUCUAAAGGUAUGUGGUCUUGCCCAGGGGUGGGAAGGAGGAUACUGCUAUGGUUUGGAUCAGAAAGUACCCCCAGAAACUCAUGCACACAGAGCGCGG